RNAcentral lists this ribosomal RNA (253 nucleotides) under uncultured bacterium. Its description in RNAcentral is "partial 16S ribosomal RNA". It matches the Rfam family "Bacterial small subunit ribosomal RNA", at positions 524 to 776 of the family's 1533-position model. The record is from RNAcentral.
UACGAAGGGGGCUAGCGUUGCUCGGAAUGACUGGGCGUAAAGGGCGUGUAGGUGGCUUACAUAGUUAGGCGUGAAAUUCCUGGGCUUAACCUGGGGACUGCGUCUAAUACAUGUAGGCUUGAGUGUGAAAGAGGGUCGUGGAAUUCCUAGUGUAGAGGUGAAAUCCGUAGAUAUUGGAAAGAACACCGGUGGCGAAGGCGGCGACCUGGUUCAUUACUGACGCUGAGGCGCGAAAGCGUGGGGAGCAAACAGG